Molecule: ribosomal RNA, 395 nt
Filed under: uncultured bacterium
Lineage: Bacteria
Description: partial 16S ribosomal RNA
Rfam family: Bacterial small subunit ribosomal RNA
Source: RNAcentral
CGCCAGACUCCUACGGGAGGCAGCAGUGGGGAAUAUUGCACAAUGGGGGAAACCCUGAUGCAGCGACGCCGCGUGAGUGAAGAAGUAUUUCGGUAUGUAAAGCUCUAUCAGCAGGGAAGAAGCAAGACGGUACCUGACUAAGAAGCCCCGGCUAACUACGUGCCAGCAGCCGCGGUAAUACGUAGGGGGCAAGCGUUAUCCGGAUUUACUGGGUGUAAAGGGAGCGUAGACGGUAUGGCAAGUCUGAAGUGAAAGCCCAGGGCUUAACCCUGGGACUGCUUUGGAAACUGUUAGACUAGAGUGCUGGAGAGGUAAGUGGAAUUCCUAGUGUAGCGGUGAAAUGCGUAGAUAUUAGGAGGAACACCAGUGGCGAAGGCGGCUUACUGGACAGUAAC